UACGUAGGUCCCGAGCGUUGUCCGGAUUUAUUGGGCGUAAGCGAGCGCAGGUGGUUUAUUAAGUCUGGUGUAAAAGGCAGUGGCUCAACCAUUGUAUGCAUUGGAAACUGGUAGACUUGAGUGCAGGAGAGGAGAGUGGAAUUCCAUGUGUAGCGGUGAAAUGCGUAGAUAUAUGGAGGAACACCGGUGGCGAAAGCGGCUCUCUGGCCUGUAACUGACACUGAGGCUCGAAAGCGUGGGGAGCAAACAGG
RNAcentral lists this ribosomal RNA (251 nucleotides) under uncultured bacterium. Its description in RNAcentral is "partial 16S ribosomal RNA". It matches the Rfam family "Bacterial small subunit ribosomal RNA", at positions 524 to 776 of the family's 1533-position model. The record is from RNAcentral. RNAcentral also lists the same sequence under 1 other name.